CAGGGAGACAACAAAAUGUUUAAUAUUAUUAUUUUGUCACCUUAGGUCGAUCGGUAUCUCACGUUUUUAAUUUAUUAAGAAUUUCAUUUCCUAAGUUUUUCCUAGGUCACACCCAUUAUUUUUCCUGGGCCAUUAGCUCAGGUGGUUAGAGCGCACCCCUGAUAAGGGUGAGGUCCCUGGUUCAAGUCCAGGAUGGCCCAUAUCUCUAUGUUGGGGGUAUAGCUCAGUUGGUAGAGCGCCUGCUUUGCAAGCAGGAUGUCAGCGGUUCGAGUCCGCUUACCUCCACUGAUUACCACCUCUUCCAUAAUCGGUAGAAAGGAAAUGUUUUGGGUUGUGAUCAAAUUCUGAAAGAAUCUAGCUUCCUAAUGAAAUCAUUAAGAUGCUGGACUCAUUGAAUUAAUUUCAUUGUUUUCAGAGAACCUUGACAACUGCAUAGAUUAUUUUUAAAGACAAUAAGCAUUUUUAAUGAUGCAGAUUUAUUAUUUGUGCGAAUGCAUUAAUAACAAUUCUAUUAAGCUGAUGCUUCAAUUUUUGAAGUUAUU
RNAcentral lists this transfer RNA (542 nucleotides) under uncultured Prochlorococcus sp. RNAcentral describes it as "partial 16S-23S ribosomal RNA intergenic spacer". The stretch from base 213 to 285 matches the Rfam family "tRNA". Lineage: Bacteria; Bacillati; Cyanobacteriota; Cyanophyceae; Synechococcales; Prochlorococcaceae. The record is from RNAcentral.